This 353-nucleotide RNase P RNA is filed under the name Halomonas sp. RNAcentral's name for it is "RNase P RNA component class A". It matches the Rfam family "Bacterial RNase P class A". Rfam says of the family: Ribonuclease P (RNase P) is a ubiquitous endoribonuclease, found in archaea, bacteria and eukarya as well as chloroplasts and mitochondria. Its best characterised activity is the generation of mature 5'-ends of tRNAs by cleaving the 5'-leader elements of precursor-tRNAs. The record is from RNAcentral. Lineage: Bacteria; Pseudomonadati; Pseudomonadota; Gammaproteobacteria; Oceanospirillales; Halomonadaceae.
GGAGUCGGCCAGACAGUCGCCGCCGGAGAGAUCCGGGGGAGGAAAGUCCGGGCUCCACAGGGCAGAGUGCCAGGUAACGCCUGGGCGGCGUGAGCCGACGGAAAGUGCAGCAGAGAGUAAACCGCCUACGUCUCCCUAGGGAGGCCGGUAAGGGUGAAAGGGUGCGGUAAGAGCGCACCGCGCGCCUGGUAACAGUGCGUGGCAAGGUAAACCCCACUCGGAGCAAGACCAAAUAGGAACCCCUUGGCGUGGCCCGCGCUGGGUUCGGGUAGGUUGCUCGAGGGUCGUGGUGACGCGAUCCCUAGAUGAAUGACUGUUCUCGACAGAACCCGGCUUAUCGGCCGGCUCCCCCC